Molecule: long non-coding RNA, 2205 nt
Organism: Trifolium pratense (red clover)
Lineage: Eukaryota; Viridiplantae; Streptophyta; Magnoliopsida; Fabales; Fabaceae
Exons: 7
Source: RefSeq, a predicted model, not a curated record
CGAACCCAGUAAACCCUUCCUUAGAACCAUUAUUCUUCUUCAUCGCAACAAUCUUCUUCUUCUUCUUCUUCUUCAAUGCAAACAAUCUUCUUUUUUUCACUGCAAUCAAUCGAAUUCUUUAUUGCACCUUCAUCACCUUCGAACCAUUCAUAAAGUGAAACCCUAACUUUCAUAGAAAUUGAACUGCUUUACUCAAACUUGAAAAUUCGAACCGUUCCUUCGCUGAAAACUUGGAAAUUCGAACCGUUCCCUUCACCCAUUGAUAUGGAACUGAUCGACGUACCGCGAGAGAUCUGGAAGAGGAGAUUGAGAAUAUGGGUGGACAUCUUAAUGCUUAUACUUCGAGGGAGCAGACUACUUAUUAUGCUAAAGUUUCGCAGAAUGAUGUACCUAAUGCACUUGAUAUUCUGGCUGAUAUUCUGUGUUUAUUGCAGUUAUUUUCAAUCUCUUAAUCGUGAGUUUUUUAUCAUGAUUUUUGAUUUUGCAGUUAAAACUCAUGAUUUAUUGCAGUUAUUUUCAAUUUCUUUCUGUGUUUUUUAUCAUGAUUUUUGAUUUUUUUUAUUUGAAACGGCUUUUAUGUUAUUAUUAUAUUAUUAGACCUUGGAUUCUAGAUUGCUCUUGUGGUAAGUUGCUUAGUGUAAUUGAUUCACAAUCUCUGUUAGUUGGUUAAAGAGUAAAUUAUAGUAUCACAAGAGGUUAAGCAUUUACUAGUUUUUUGUACCAAGCUUGAUUGUGAGUUUGUUUAUAAAUUGAAGUUUGCGACCCUUUCUACUUUGUAACUGUUAUGGAAUCCAUCUUGCUUGUUCGUAGAAUUUAGAUACCGAUAAUAUGAUGAACAGUCUGGAAUACAAUGCCAAUCCAAACAUAAAUGUGUUACACCUAGUCCACUUGGGAAAAAGGAUCAUAAUACAACAUAUAUGCAUUGGAAUGAACUGAUCACAUGGUUCUGUUUUGGUGAAAGAAAUUAGAAUGUACUAUAACUUAUGUUUUGUUUGUUUUCAAGAUGUAGUUUGGUUUUUAUUUUUUAAUUUUCAAUAAAAAAUACAUAUAACAAUUGACACAAGUUCAACUUAUGAUAUGCAUAUGCUUUAUAGUCUCGGAUGUUUGAGCUAAUUGUGGACUAAUCGUCUCGGAGGUUUGAGCUAGAAUCAUUAGUGUCUGGGCUGUGCAGAAUUUUCUGUCUCUCGCAGUCUCGCUUCAAUUUCUCUCUUGAUCAUUAUGGCAUCGUGGGGUAAUAGAAAGCAAUAUGAGGCUCAAAUACUUACGAAGGAAAAUUAUGUUUCACUACAAUAGUUUUGAUCUAUGGCAGCACCGCUUUUCUUCCGUUUAUGUUAUUGAGGUUUCCUAAUCUAUAAAAACAUUAGUACAUGUUCAGCUUCAUCAAAGGGAGUUCUAUUUUCACCCUUAUUGUCUUGAUAUGUAUUGUACUUUAUAAGAUGGAGGAGGAAUGUGAAAUGUAUAGAGGGGAGGCUCACAAGGCACCCAUCCUAGCAGCUAUAAAAUUGGGAAUGUGGUCCUUCUGUUCUAUUUUGCAAAAAUGUGAGAUUUCCAUUGAGCAAAAGUGUGUAUGGUGUAGAACCAUCUGAAAGUGCAGUACUGAGAAUAGAGGAAAAUCAGGCAAACAUCAAAUCCAAGGGAUUGGUGUUGGCAUCGUUCCGCCUGUCUUGGAAGUUGGUCUCCUAGAAGAAGUUAUUCAGGUUUUAUGAACGAUACAUGUUUCAAGUGAAGAAGCUAUAGAAACUACUAAGUUGCUUGCCUUGAAAGAAGGUUUACUGUUCAGGACAUUUUCUCAUGAAGGAGAAAACUUCUCAUUCUCAAGCAUGGUUUAUCUAUUCAUGGGUUCCAAAUGUCAUUGUUGCUAAGAAGUAAGAAAACAGAAAAUCCACCUCAAGCAUUAGCGAAAGAAGCAAUUGUUGAUGAGAGAUAUGAGUUAUCUCUUUUUUUAAUCAUCUUAUUUUAAUUAUCAUUUGAUUGUGAUAUUAUAUUUCUAUUGCAAGUUUUUAUUUUGAUAAUGAUUAAAAGUUUCGUAACAUUGUUGAUAGUGACAUGUGUUAAGAGACAAGGCUUGGUGAUAUUUCUUAUCUCUUUCACCUUGUCUUAGUGUUGUUUAUUACUUGUGAAUGUUAUAUUUUACUUUUGUUUCUGAGUAUAUAUAUGUACUAUGUAGUGUAAUUUGUAUUGAGAGUUUUGAUUUGUUCUAGUGAU